Molecule: ribosomal RNA, 254 nt
Filed under: uncultured bacterium
Lineage: Bacteria
Description: partial 16S ribosomal RNA
Rfam family: Bacterial small subunit ribosomal RNA
Source: RNAcentral
UACAGGGGGUGCAAACGUUGCUCGGAAUUAUUGGGCGUAAAGCGCGCGUAGGCGGCCACUUAAGUCGGAUGUGAAAGCCCCUGGCUCAACUGGGGAAGUGCACCCGAAACUGAGUAGCUGGAGUACGAAAGAGGGUCGCGGAAUUCCCGGUGUAGAGGUGAAAUUCGUAGAUAUCGGGAGGAACACCGGUGGCGAAGGCGGCGACCUGGGUCGAUACUGACGCUGAGUGAGCGAAAGCCAGGGGAGCAAACGGG